RNAcentral lists this unclassified non-coding RNA (608 nucleotides) under Hevea brasiliensis (rubber tree). Lineage: Eukaryota; Viridiplantae; Streptophyta; Magnoliopsida; Malpighiales; Euphorbiaceae. The record is from RNAcentral.
AAACAAAUUAACUUCUGUUCCAGAGUUUAUAGCUUAGAAAGCAAGAGAAUUUUUAUAAUUUGCAGCUUUGCUGGAUUAUGGUGACUGGAUGUCUUCAGGGUUUACUUUUGAGUCUCUGUUAUUAUUUCAAGUUUUAUUUUAUAUUAGGAGUCCUUUUCGAUUUAGAAGUCCAGAUCCUUAGAAGAUUAAGAUUAGUUAUGUUUUUAAUUUUUGAGUAUAUUUUGAGUCUGUACAUACCCAUGCUUGUGAUGAUUUAUUAAUAAGCAUUGUCGUUGAAUAAAAUUUCAGUAGAUAUGGAACUUUGGAUUGUCUGAUGCAAUUCAACCAUAAUUAAUUCAAGCUAUCUAAAUCCUGUCUCUUUCCCUUCAAAUUCAGUCAUCAACUUUGUAGGUUCAUUUUUUUCAAUCUAUAAUCCUCUUUCCUUACACAUUUGUUGAUCAAAGAUUACCAAAGCAGUUCUAUGCCAUUUAAAGAAUCCUAACCCCUUAAGGUUAUAUUGCAUGCUUCUAUUAGCAAAGAAAACAGUUAUUUCUAGGUUAUCUGAUUAAAGCUUAUGAUUCAUUUAGUUUUUUCAUACAUAUAUAUACAUAUAUUUAUAUGUAUUAUCA